This 624-nucleotide ribosomal RNA is filed under the name uncultured fungus. Its description in RNAcentral is "eukaryotic LSU rRNA". The stretch from base 186 to 339 matches the Rfam family "5.8S ribosomal RNA". The record is from RNAcentral. Lineage: Eukaryota; Fungi.
AAGUCGUAACAAGGUUUCCGUAGGUGAACCUGCGGAAGGAUCAUUAAUGAAUUUAGAUUGAACCAUAGGCGAAAGCCAGUGGUUCUUCUUUCAUAUCCAUAACACCUGUGCACUGUUGGAUGCUUGCAUCCACUUUUAAACUAAAACAUUAUUGUAACAAAUGUAGUCUUAUUAUAACAUAAUAAAACUUUCAACAACGGAUCUCUUGGCUCUCGCAUCGAUGAAGAACGCAGCGAAAUGCGAUAAGUAAUGUGAAUUGCAGAAUUCAGUGAAUCAUCGAAUCUUUGAACGCACCUUGCGCUCCUUGGUAUUCCGAGGAGCAUGCCUGUUUGAGUGUCAUGAAACCCUCAAACCCAAGUUUUGGAUUUCGAUCCAUGCUUGAGUUUGGAUUUGGAUGUUUGCCGGUGAUGAAUCGACUCAUCUUAAAAGUAUUAGCUUGGAUCUGUCUAUAUGACUGGUUUGACUUGGCAUAAUGAGUAUUUUGCUGAGGACAUCCUCGGAUGGCCAGGACCUAGACUACUGUCUGCUAACUAAACCAUCACUUUAAGUGCAUCUUUGGAUGUUACUCAUUGUGUAACUUUGACAUCUGGCCUCAAAUCAAGUAGGACUACCCGCUGAACUUAA